This 498-nucleotide ribosomal RNA is filed under the name uncultured bacterium. Its description in RNAcentral is "bacterial SSU rRNA". It matches the Rfam family "Bacterial small subunit ribosomal RNA", at positions 28 to 526 of the family's 1533-position model. The record is from RNAcentral.
GAUGAACGCUAGCGGGAGGCCUAACACAUGCAAGCCGAGCGGUAUUGUUUCUUCGGAAAUGAGAGAGCGGCGUACGGGUGCGUAACACGUGUGCAACCUGCCUUUAUCUGGGGGAUAGCCUUUCGAAAGGAAGAUUAAUACUCCAUAAUAUAUUGAACGGCAUCGUUUAAUAUUGAAAGCUCCGGCGGAUAGAGAUGGGCACGCGCAAGAUUAGCUAGUUGGUGAGGUAACGGCUCACCAAGGCGAUGAUCUUUAGGGGGCCUGAGAGGGUGAUCCCCCACACUGGUACUGAGACACGGACCAGACUCCUACGGGAGGCAGCAGUGAGGAAUAUUGGUCAAUGGGUGCAAGCCUGAACCAGCCAUCCCGCGUGAAGGACGACUGCCCUAUGGGUUGUAAACUUCUUUUGUAUAGGGAUAAACCUACCCUCGAGAGGGUAGCUGAAGGUACUAUACGAAUAAGCACCGGCUAACUCCGUGCCAGCCGCCGCAGUAAUAC